Molecule: ribosomal RNA, 483 nt
Filed under: uncultured bacterium
Lineage: Bacteria
Description: partial 16S ribosomal RNA
Rfam family: Bacterial small subunit ribosomal RNA
Source: RNAcentral
AUUGAACGCUGGCGGCAGGCCUAACACAUGCAAGUCGAGCGGAUGAAGGGAGCUUGCUCCUGGAUUCAGCGGCGGACGGGUGAGUAAUGCCUAGGAAUCUGCCUGGUAGUGGGGGAUAACGUCCGGAAACGGGCGCUAAUACCGCAUACGUCCUGAGGGAGAAGUGGGGGAUCUUCGGACCUCACGCUCUCAGAUGAGCCUAGGUCGGAUUAGCUAGUUGGUGGGGUAAAGGCCUACCAAGGCGACGAUCCGUAACUGGUCUGAGAGGAUGACCAGUCACACUGGAACUGAGACACGGUCCAGACUCCUACGGGAGGCAGCAGUGGGGAAUAUUGGACAAUGGGCGAAAGCCUGAUCCAGCCAUGCCGCGUGUGUGAAGAAGGUCUUCGGAUUGUAAAGCACUUUAAGUUGGGAGGAAGGGCAGUAAGUUAAUACCUUGCUGUUUUGACGUUACCAACAGAAUGAGCACCGGCUAACUUCGUG